Molecule: long non-coding RNA, 1328 nt
Filed under: Salmo salar (Atlantic salmon)
Lineage: Eukaryota; Metazoa; Chordata; Actinopteri; Salmoniformes; Salmonidae
Description: lncRNA (ENSSSAG00000081846.1)
Source: RNAcentral
CAUAACCCGGGCCAGUCGAGCCUCACUAGCCAGAUGAAGCUAUCUGUCUGCUUAUAAAGUUAGCUUUGGGCAACAGGGUUAAGUAGCUGGAUAGCUAGUUAUUUUCAUGAACUGAAGUUCAAUUUCAGUAGGUGAACAACAAGUGGCAACCUAGCUAAUACUUACUCACAAGGAUUGCAAAAUCAUUUCUAAGAAUAAUGAAAAUGACUGCAGGUUCUACUGGUCAUUGUUUUCAGGCUGGUUGUAUUGGUGCUAGCUAGGUACCAAGCUAAAGCUAGCAACCCCAGAAGUCGCGGUCGAACAUAUGCUUUAUUACCAACGUGGUAUUGUAAACACAUCGUUCGUGGCCAGUGUUUGCUUGUUUGCAGACUUUUUUAUACAGAUUUGACAGUGCUACUGAUAGUAGUGGUGGCGCCGGGCUUGCAUGUGCAAAUUCACAACACUCUACAAUAGAACUGUGUUAUUUGACGUGCAUCCUUUUUGACAUUUAAAGACCCAAACGGCAUUCCAUAGCUUUGAGUUUGGGCUUAAUCACUCAGUGUGUGUGGUUUACACACUGUGUUUGCACAAUGAGCCACAUCUUAUUAAGGAUACCGCAGCCUUUGCAACAGAAGCACGUUUCUUUUCCCUGUCAGAAUGACAUCAAAGUCCACUAACAUUGAAGAACACACACCAUCCUUAUCCUGAUUUACUUCACUUUGUUACUCUUGAGAUGAUCGAAGCUGUAAGACACCAGGGCUGUGAUGAGAUACAUGAGCAUGCCUGUGUAGUGCCCCACCACCAGGCAGAGUGGCUGUGCCAGGACGAACAGACAGAAGACGUUGACGCUGGCGCUCUCUGCCAGCUCCACCCGGUCCUCCUGACUGGCACGCAGCACGCCAAAGAAAUAUAUCAACGCCACCGCCGGGUAAAAGGCCAACUCAACCAUGGUGCCGUCCGAGUCAAGGGAGAGUGCUGGUGUGCUGCUCUUGAUGAUGUCCGAGACGUAGACGCAAACAAACUCCACGCGGGGAAACCAGAAGUUCCACACACAUAUACUCGUUGGUCUUUCAGUCCUACCGACACACACAGAGAUGACAGAUGAGAUGUGAGGGUAUGUCCUGCAGAGAGAGAACGAUGGACCUUUGAUCAUCAGUUCUGUUGGAUCAGUAAAACAUUAGCUAUUAUCUGAUGGGGUCAAAGCCUUCUCACACUAUGUAUGUAUGUGUGUGUGUGUGUGUGUGUCUAUAUUACCCAGGUCUUAUCUGAUGGGGCCAAGGCCUUAUGUGCCAGAGCAUACAGCUAUAACUACUGACAACAGAUAUGAUACAAAUAAAUAAAAAACUCAC